Cygnus olor (mute swan) is the source of this 1071-nucleotide long non-coding RNA. RefSeq lists it as uncharacterized. NCBI's taxonomy places the organism in Eukaryota, Metazoa, Chordata, Aves, Anseriformes, Anatidae. The transcript has 3 exons. The record is from RefSeq and is a predicted model, not a curated record.
AAAAUAUUUUUGAAUGUAUUUGAUUCUAAGUGUCCUUAGCAAGCAAGCUAUCCUUGUUGAAAUUCCCUACAUAAUACUGCAGUAUCAGUGCUAUGCUGUUACUUUCCAGGGCCUCUUCUGCUGCAUUCCAGUAUAAUCAUAUGUUCCAGCACCCGACAAUGCUCUCAUGGCUGACAGCUAUCUGCAUAGAAAAAUAGCACAGUAACCAUUUAAAUCAUGCAAAAACAUUUACCCAAGAAGAUGUAGCAAAGAUCAGGAUCCAGCUUCCAGACCCCAUGAAGCAUGAAGCUGAGAGAGCAAUCCACUAGCUUGCUCGGGCCAGCAGUGUCUCUCCUACACUUGACCUAGACUGCCUUACAUAAUGAGGAAUCAGUGCUGUAUCCUGUGUGGAGGAGCAAGCUGAAUGUCAUCACUGGCAGAAGUAGGGAGAACUGGCAGCAGGCAGGCUGGUAGUUAGCAUGGAGAUCACGAAGUCUGCUUUCCCCAAGUGCUCUGGAAGAAAACACAAGAAGAGCUCAGAAAUGCUGGUGUCAUUCCUCCUCUGGAAUUAAUGACCGGAAGGACUGAGGGUGUUACAAACGUGAGGCAGAGAGCAAGUGCAAAAGCUGCAUCUGUACUUACUAUCAAGGUAACAGAGCUCCUCUCACACUGUCUACAGGACUGCAUAGCUACAGCUAAUAGGAGAGCAACAGCAAGGAAAAAUAAGAAAGGAGAGAGGAGAGACAGACUGCUGCUGCAUACAUUUGUCUGUAUAUUACUCAUUGUGGCUGCUGGUCUAUUUGGCUCUGUGUUCAACUGAAGAAAUCCAGAAAAAGUACAGAAAGCAUUAUGCAGCAGAAAGUGCACAAACAAGAUCCAAUUCACAUCAAUCUAGAAAAGCAGUAUUUCUGAAAGGCUCUGGAUUUUUUUUUCUGAAGUCCACAAUAUGAGGGAUGAGAAGCACAAGACAAGUACUCUGUUUUGAUUAUACAUAUAGCUUCUCAAAAAACAAGUGUCUGAAGAUUUUAUUGAAAAUUAAAUCAACUUUCUACAGCAGAAAACGAGACACUCUUGGUUUUGUAGCACUGCACC